AUCUCUGCUCCGUAUUGUCCCAUGGACGCAGAAAAGAAUAAGGAUCAUCAUUAGCAGCAGCAGCGGAGAAAUCAAAGUGGCCUUGAUGGCGCAGAAAAGGCUCACUGACAUUCCCGUUUUGAGGCGGUGCGAGUGGAGCUGUCAGGUAAGAGUCGCUGACAUUCCCUACUUGAGGUGGCGCUAGUGGAGCUGUCAGGUAAGAGUCGCUGACAUUCCAAACAUGCGGUGGUGCUAACGGAGUUGUGAGAUCCUGGAGCUCCAAGUAUAGCUCCGAGUUUUCAAUCAGGUCGUCAGAGGGUGUCCUUGGCAUGAUGUUGUUGUCAUGCAUAUUGCUAAAGUCGGGUAGGUCGUCGAAUAUCACUUCCUCUCCUAAGGAAAUUGGAGCUGAGACAUUG
This 395-nucleotide long non-coding RNA is filed under the name Brassica napus (rape). RNAcentral describes it as "long non-coding RNA (BNAP_LNC009005)". The record is from RNAcentral. Lineage: Eukaryota; Viridiplantae; Streptophyta; Magnoliopsida; Brassicales; Brassicaceae.